AUCUAAUCAUUUGCAAAAAUAGCUUAUUAGUAUAUAAGAGGGAAGAAUCGUUCACAUGUUUCUGACAUUUUGAUAACAGGAAUUGAGAUUCUGGAGUACAGAAAGAGAACAAUGGUGUGAAAGCACAAUCCACACUAUUACAACUAUUUCUGAGGGGAGCACCAGGCUUUACCUCAGAAAAGGAGCCAGGAUUUACACUGUAUAUGUAUGUAUAUUACAUGAGGUACCUAAAAUAGUCAAGUUCAAAGAGCCAGAAGGUGGAAUAGUGGUUGCCAGAAAUAGCGAGCAGGGUGAAUGGAGAAUUAUUGUUUAAUAGAGUUUGAGUUUGGGAAGAUGAAAAAAGUCCUGGAUAUGUACAGUGAUGAUGCUUGUACAACAGUGUGAAUGUACUUAACAUCACUGAAGUGUACCCUUACCAAUGGUUAAAAUGUUGUAUUUUAUUGUAUAUGCUUUACGAUAAUAAAGAAGUUUUUUUAAAUGGGGAAUGUGUGCUCCUGAGGGCAUACAAAAUGUUUCUAAGGGAUACACUGUACCAGAUGUAUUUAAGGGAAUACUAUAUUCAGUCCUCAACCUCUAGAUAUUCUCUUUUCUAGAACCAAUCUGCCUUGGAGCAUUCUUGUGAAAGAUGAGUCUACUUGCUGCCUCUAUCACCACAAUCACUCUGUUCCCAUAUUAGAGAAAUGACAUCUGUCACCCACCUUGAAUAUUGUCAUGGAGCAAAACCCAAAGGACACCAACCAAAGUAAAAUUCAAGAUAUUGGUGUGAUAAAAGCUCUGGUGAUUAAGAGCUUCCCAGGUGAUGCUGUUGGAGUGUUAGACUUGAGAGCAAUUUCUGUAAGGCUUCCGUCAGCUCUUUCAGAAGUGGUCUUGUGUGUGCAAGGUUCUUUUUACUGAGUGGUGGAAGAGAGAAUAAAACGCAGUCCUCGGGAACUAAUAUCCUUCA
Molecule: long non-coding RNA, 943 nt
Filed under: Felis catus (domestic cat)
Lineage: Eukaryota; Metazoa; Chordata; Mammalia; Carnivora; Felidae
Description: lncRNA (ENSFCAG00000053531.1)
Source: RNAcentral